RNAcentral lists this ribosomal RNA (995 nucleotides) under activated sludge metagenome. RNAcentral's name for it is "bacterial LSU rRNA". It matches the Rfam family "Bacterial large subunit ribosomal RNA", at positions 1919 to 2925 of the family's 2925-position model. The record is from RNAcentral.
CCCAGUAAACGGCGGCCGUAACUAUAACGGUCCUAAGGUAGCGAAAUUCCUUGUCGGGUAAGUUCCGACCUGCACGAAUGGCGUAACGAUCUCCCCGCUGUCUCUAACGUGGACUCAGCGAAAUUGAACUGUGUGUCAAGAUGCACACUACCCGCGGUUAGACGGAAAGACCCCAUGAACCUUUACUCCAGCUUUGCAUUGGCAACAGGACUGUGAUGUGCAGGAUAGGUGGUAGGCAUUGAAGCGGGGACGCCAGUCUUCGUGGAGCCUCCCUUGAGAUACCACCCUUCGCCGUCUUGUUGUCUAACCGCGACCCGUUAUCCGGGCCCGGGACCGUGCAUGGUGGGGAGUUUGACUGGGGCGGUCGCCUCCCAAAAAGUAACGGAGGCGCGCGAUGGUUGGCUCAGACCGGUCGGAAAUCGGUCGUUGAGUGCAAUGGCAGAAGCCAGCCUGACUGCAAGACUGACAAGUCGAGCAGAGACGAAAGUCGGUCAUAGUGAUCCGGUGGUCCCAAGUGGGAGGGCCAUCGCUCAACGGAUAAAAGGUACUCUGGGGAUAACAGGCUGAUGAUGCCCAAGAGUCCAUAUCGACGGCAUCGUUUGGCACCUCGAUGUCGGCUCAUCUCAUCCUGGGGCUGGAGCAGGUCCCAAGGGUAUGGCUGUUCGCCAUUUAAAGAGGUACGUGAGCUGGGUUUAGAACGUCGUGAGACAGUUCGGUCCCUAUCUGCCGUGGGUGCAGGAGACUUGAGAAGAGUUGACCCUAGUACGAGAGGACCGGGUUGAACGAACCACUGGUGGACCAGUUAUCGUGCCAACGGUAGUGCUGGGUAGCUAUGUUCGGACAGGAUAACCGCUGAAGGCAUCUAAGCGGGAAGCCCCCUUCAAAACAAGGUCUCCCUUGAGGGCCGUGGAAGACCACCACGUCGAUAGGCCAGAGGUGUAAGUGCAGCAAUGCAUUCAGCUGACUGGUACUAAUUGCCCGAUUGGCUUGAUCUG